This is a non-coding RNA of Canis lupus familiaris (dog), 104 nucleotides long. NCBI's taxonomy places the organism in Eukaryota, Metazoa, Chordata, Mammalia, Carnivora, Canidae. The record is from Rfam.
GUGCUUGCUUCGGCAGCACAUACACUAAAAUCACUGAUACAGAAAAGAUUAGCAUGGCCCUGCACAAGGAUGACAUGCAAAUUUGUAAAGGAUUCCAUUAAAAC